This 200-nucleotide ribosomal RNA is filed under the name uncultured bacterium. RNAcentral's name for it is "partial 16S ribosomal RNA". It matches the Rfam family "Bacterial small subunit ribosomal RNA", at positions 8 to 220 of the family's 1533-position model. The record is from RNAcentral.
AGAGUUUGAUCAUGGCUCAGGAUGAACGCUGGCGGCGUGCCUAACACAUGCAAGUCGAGCGAUCUCUUCGGAGAGAGCGGCGGACGGGUGAGUAACGCGUGGGUAACCUGCCCUGUACACACGGAUAACAUACCGAAAGGUAUGCUAAUACGGGAUAAUAUAUGAAAGUCACAUGGCUUUUAUAUCAAAGCUUUGCAGUA